AUAGUACUUUUAGGUCCAUCUAAUUCAGAACCGCAGCAGAAAACCUUAGUACUUGAUGUAAUCACACCAGUUACUACCACUAUCAUUAUGAUGUCACUAAACACCUUAUGUCAAUGCAUCAACUAGGAAAAGGCAGAUUUAAAGCUCAAGGCACUGAACAAAGACCUUUCUUCAGAUCAUAUGUUAUCUUCCAAUAAAUCCCUUGGACUCCUUGACUCCUAGCAUCUGCUUCCUAGAGAACCCGACUGAGACAAUCUGUGAAGAGAGAGAUAUAAAGGAAUAAUUUCCUAGUGAAGUUAUGGAGCAAACUUUAGCCUUAGUAAAAUUGGACAAGUUAUUUCUACUGUGAAAGAUCGCUGAAGGAUAACUGUUUUCAACUGAAACCUAAAGACAGAGAUAGCAGUUAACAUUUAUUUUCAUAAUCUUAAAAAGGUAUAUAAUUUCAGUAGGAGGGACCUAUAGCGACACUAAGUGGGGGGUGGAGUGAGGACAUUUGAUCAGUGCUGGGGGAGAGCAAAGCAAAGAGGCAUUAUCCAGAGAAUUCUGCACAGCAGUCGCCCACCUGAUCCGGGCUGCCUUCUUAGCUUACCCUUGAACGUCAGCCUGGUUCUGGCCCAGGCCCAAGAGCUAAGUUUCAGAUCCUGGCAGGCUUAGGAGAACAGUGCAGCCUGGAACAUCUAAUCCCACUCCGGCUUGCUCUAAAAUGGCCCCUGAAUUCAUCCAGCUCCUGAGCCUGCUGCCUGAAGCUGUUGCUAGAAACUCGAAGCAUAGAAGAGCAAUGCCACUUUUGCUCCAGCUUUGAGUUUCGGUUUUACCAUAUUAAUUUUUUCAAGAAUUUUCAUCUUUCCACAUGCCAUCUUUUAGAACAGAUUGCUUAAAGUUUCUUAGAGGAAAUGAGGCACAGUUAGCAGAUGAGAGGGUGUACACCCGUGUUCCUAGGGCCCGGGCAGCUAUCACCUUGUAAGGACUUACCUGCUGC
Molecule: long non-coding RNA, 979 nt
Organism: Equus caballus (horse)
Lineage: Eukaryota; Metazoa; Chordata; Mammalia; Perissodactyla; Equidae
Source: RefSeq, a predicted model, not a curated record